UCUCGUGCUUUCCCUCUGGUCUGGAGCGUCUGCCUGGCUGCUAGGCUGCAGUUCGUGUCCCCACGCAUGCUCUUGACAGCCCUUUCCAGACGUGGCGUGGGCCCCGAUGUGUCCUGGAGAGGAGUUGUUUUCCUCGCCAGCUGAUUCCUGAGAAUGAGGAACCGUGGUGCCACUCGCUGUUCAGUGUGCUGAGAGAAUGGGGGGCCACCGAGGGUGACGCCCCCGACCGCAGUCUCCCUGCUGAGAUUCCAACUCAAAGUUGUGUGCGGGGAGCACUGCCCGGAGGGAUGGGGUGUCAUUCCGCCAGAGAGAGACGUCCCCGAGUUAGAGGCCCCACUUCUGAGCAGGGAGGAGGGAGGAGGGCAGGACACCCCCUCGGAUGGCUGUUCCCUGGCCUGGGUGAUUGGUGGCCCUGGGGGGUUGGUGGGCGGCGUCCAGAUCUCUCCCAGUUCUGCUCUGUGGCGUGGGGUGCUGGGGGCCGAGCCUGCGGGCCUUCCACACCGUCCGAGCCCCUUUUCUGGCCUGACGCCUCGGUUAGUUCAUGGGCGCACUCUUGCCCUGCCUGCUUGCUGUUGGCUGUUUUCUUAUGUCUGAUCUCACAGAGUUCCAUACUCUGGGGAGCCGCCGCCUGCCUGGAAGCCUGGCCUUCCUGCUCUCUGCCGGCUCCCUCCCUGUGGGCGUCUUCUCCGCAGGCUCUCUCUCUGGGAUCUUUUAGUUCAACUCUUGUGCUCCUGGUUUCCCAUCUUCGAGUUGUUUCUUCCUCAAGGCACCCUCUUCUCGUUUCGUGGAUGCAGCACCUUCUCUCAGAGGAAACUUUAGUUGUUUGUUUUUAGAGUAGACUUUUUGAAGCAGUUUUAGGUGCCCAGCAUAAUUGACGGGAAGGCACAGAGAUUUCUCACGCACCCACAGCCUCCCCCAGUAUCCACACCCCACCAGAGUGGUGCAUUUGUACAGUUGAUGAACCGACACGGGCACCUCAUCAUCCAGAGUCCAUAGUGGGGAGUCCAUAGUAGGGUUCACACUUGGUGUUGUGCAUUCUGUGGGUAUGAACAAACGUACAGUGAUGUGGAUCCACCAUCGCAGUAUCAUACAGUGUAGUUUCACUGUCCUGAAAAUCCUCUGUGCUCCUCCCACUUACCCCUCCCUCCCCUAACCCCUGACUAUCACUGAAAGGAUCUCUCCCGGUCUCCAGAGUUCCGCCUUUUCCAGAAUGCCAUAUGGUUGGAAUCAUACAGUAUGGAGCCGUUUCAGGUUGGCUUAUUUCACUUAGUCAUAUGCACUUAAGGAUCCUCCGUGUCUUUUCGUGGCUUGAUAGCUCAUUUCUUUAUCAUGCUGAAGAACAGUCCACUGUCUUCAGUGGCUGUCCCACAGUUUAUGUACGUAUCCAUUCGCCUACUGAAGGACACUUCGGUGGCUUCUGAAGGACACCUUGGUUGCUUCCAAGUUUUGGCAGUUAUGAACAAAGCUGCUGUAAACAUCCGUGUGCAGGUUUUUGUGUGGACAUAAGUUUUUAGCUCCUUUGGGUAAAUGCCAAAGGGCAUGAUUGCUGGGAUAUAUGGUGAGAAUAUGUUUAGUUUUGUAAAAAACUGCCAAACUGUCUUCCAAAGUAGUUUCAGCCUUUUGCAUUUCCAGCAUCAGUGAAGGCGAGUUCUGUUGCUCUGCAUCCUUGCCGGCAUUUGGUGUUUUGGGCCAUUCUAGUAGGUGUGUGGUGGUGGCAUGUUGUUUCAGUCUGCGUUUCCCUGAGGACAAGUGAUGUGGAGCAUCUUUUCACGUGCUCAUUCGCCAUCUGUGUAUUUUCUUUGGUGAGGUGUCUGUUAAAAUCGUGGCCCAUUUUUUAAUCGGGUUGUUUGUUACCUUGUUGUUGAGUUUUAGGUGGUCUUGGUCUGUUUUGGAUGAUGGUGUUUUGUUCAUGUGUCUGAAGUCUUUUCUCCCUUCCCUGGCUUGUCUUUUCAUCCCCUCAGACUGUAGUUUUUGAAAGUCUUUUGUCAUUCUGACCAUGUGUUUCCUGGGCCUCUGUCUUCACACUGCAGACCUUCCUCACGUGCUGGCGCUGAAGCAGAUGCUUCGGUUCUGGUCCUGGCUGCGCUGCCUUCUGUGGGGUGCCCUCAAGUCUGCAUCUGCUGGUCUCUGGGGGCCGUCCCACUGGGGCUGCCCCCUGAGGAUGGGAUGGUCCACUGCUCCCUUGUUUCCAGGCGGGGUGCACACCCUUGCCUCCAUGUCUGGUUCCCUUGGCACAGGCCACCAUGGUCCCUGGGCACCCCCAGCAGAGGGAGGGUGGGGAGUGGGGCUGGGUGUGCUUCUGCGCAGGACCGUACUCAGCUGCUGUCUGACCCGAAUCUCCCCCAUGCUCCUGCCGUGGCUGACUGCUUCCGGCCUCGUGGGAGCGUGCAGGGGCUGCGUCCUGAGUCCUCCACAGGCACCCUGCAGGCUGCUCUCCCAGGGGACUCGGAGCAUAGCAGCCUGACGGGAGGCUGCUGGGAUCUUCCUCGUAUCAUCCUGCAGCCCAGUGCCCUGGCGAGUGCCCCCACUCCUCGGCAGGGUGUGCGCGUCUGUCUCCGGGCACCUGUGUCCCGAGCCUGCCCACGCCUGGCACUGCCCAGGUCCUCCUGGGCCUGUUUAUUUCUGAAGUCCCUGGCCCCAGGCAGAGCGGGGUCCAGGGCUGCACUCGGGAGAGGCGUCCCUGCGCAUAUGGGGGUGGUGGAUACCAGGAUGGCAGGCACUCCUGGAGGAGGGUGCUUUAUGCCUCCAGGUGAGGGGUUGGGUGGGCUUGAACCUCCCUUUAUGGGUUUUCACACAGCUUGCACCCUGGACUGGAGGGUGGGUGAGGGUGGACGCCUGGGGUCACUCUGCUGCCACGUGUUGCAUCCAGGUCCUGCCUGGCCAGACCGGCUGGUGAGGCCACAGCUGCCUCUCGACCUCCCUCUUCCUGUGGCUACCGUUGUGCCCCCAGGAGGGGCCGCCGGGCUUAACAGAGAGAAGGCAGGACACCCAGGUCAGUCUCAGACCGGCAGUGGCUUUUUAGGGAAGGAUGUCCUGCACAGUGUUUGGGAAAUACUUAGACUAAAAACAUUAUCUGCUGUUUAUCUGAAAUUCAGAUUUGGCUGGGCAUCCUGUAGUUUAUCUGGCAGCCCUGCCAAGGGGCCCUGGGCGACAUCUGGGGACAUUUGUGGUUGUCACUCGGGGGUUGGGGAUGUGGCUGCUCCUGGCAUUGAGUGGGCCAGGCCCAGGGGUGCUCUUGGCUCCCUUCAGCGCCCAGGACGGCCCCACGGAGAAUGCUAGGCCCAAACGUCGGCUGUGCCAGGCCAAGAAAGCUGCCCUGGGCACAGGCUCACCCUGACUCACCCCUUUGGCUGACCUGUGCCCUGUUACUCAGCUGUGGCAGGGGUUGGGGGGACAGGGGUGCACUGCAGCCCUGUCAGUCCUGAGGGGUUGCCAAGUGCGGGCACACGUGGCUCAGAAAGUGCCUGCGCCCAGCACCUGGCCCUGUCUACCCCAGCCUGCCUCAAACCCUGUGGAACAUCCGCCUGGCAAGUGAGACAGGUGUCAGCCCGGGCCCAUCCACCAUGCACUCUGGUGGCCUCUUCACCAGCCCUUCCUGGGGCCUGUCCCCUGGCUGGGUCACCUCCCUCCCUGGCCAGGACCCUCUGAUGUUCGCUCUCCCCCGUGACCUCACAUUCUGCACCCCCACGCCCGACUCUUCCCUCGCCAGUAUUUCAUACUGUUUUUGCUGUCUCUACCAAAGUCUUAAGAAAUAGAAGUAUACCUGCACGUGGCUUAAAAACCCGACAAUGUUAAAAGGUUUAUGAUGGAAAAUGACCGUCUUGCCUCCCUUCUCACUGGCGUGGACCCAUCCUACCCAGAGGCAGCUCCUUUUUUCUAAUUAACUUUUUAUUUUGAAAUAAUGAUGGAUUCACAGGAAGCUGCGAAAAAAAUGAACAGGGAGGUCCCAGGGACCCUCACCCAGUUCCCCACACUCGGGGGAUGGACACUGGCCACCCAGGGAGUGGAUGCAGGUGCCUCCAGACUCCAGGUGCUCACGGGCCUGUGUGCGUGCAUCAGUGCGGCUGAUCACGCGUGUGGACCCGUGUCACCCCAUCAGGACAGUUGUGCUGUCACACCAGGCCCCCUGUGCUCCACAGGUCACGAGCCUGCUCUCCCUCGUCUCCGUCGUGUCACUUGGGGAACGUUGACAAACGAGUCUGAGAUGGGGUGUUUCAUUCCCCUUGAUGCCCUUCAGACCAUUCGCUGGCGGUGGUCCUUCCCCUGCCGCGUGGUGUCCCAUCGGGACGGCCACAGCUUGCUCUCGUGCUUCGGCCGUUAGGAAUGUGCCCUCUGGCGCUGGAGGUCGGGUCCUCGUGGACGUGUUGGCCUCUCUCUGGGGUCAGUGCCGGGAGCGCGGGUGCUGUGUCACAUGGUGGCCACACUGGGGUUUUAUGAGGAACCAUUUCUACCCCCUCCGAGACGCUGAGUGACCGGCCUCCGAGGCCUUGCUGUGUCCACUCCCGCCCUGGUGCAGCAGUGCUGUCUCACAGCUGCUGUCAUUGUGUUUGCCCCUGACAAACGGUGCUCACUUGCCACGGCGCCUUUGAACCCUUCCAGCCGUGUCUUCUAGCGUGGGAACCCAUCUCUGUGAUGGUCACGCCCACCCCUCGGCCUCAUCUGUGACAUUCUGCGGGGACUGGAAUGUGAGGAGCCGGCCUUCCCCUCCCCUCUCCUUACACCUUGUUCCCGUCCUGAGGACACAGGGCUGCUGGUGAUGUAGCCAGGGAGUGGACAACAGGUGCACGCUCCAGGGCUCCUGGAGCGCACGGACCAGGCGCCCGCCUUCCUCCUGGAGUGCGACAGCUCGGUGCUGGGCGCGCUGCAGAGGCACCUGGCAC
Molecule: RNA transcript, 4880 nt
Organism: Diceros bicornis minor
Lineage: Eukaryota; Metazoa; Chordata; Mammalia; Perissodactyla; Rhinocerotidae
Gene: IBA57
Gene name: iron-sulfur cluster assembly factor IBA57
Exons: 2
Source: RefSeq, a predicted model, not a curated record